RNAcentral lists this ribosomal RNA (500 nucleotides) under uncultured bacterium. RNAcentral's name for it is "bacterial SSU rRNA". It matches the Rfam family "Bacterial small subunit ribosomal RNA", at positions 15 to 518 of the family's 1533-position model. The record is from RNAcentral.
GAUCCUGGCUUAGGAUGAACGCUGGCGGCGUGCUUAACACAUGCAAGUCGACGAAACCUAUGGAUUGAAGUCUCGGAAUGAUUGAAAUAAGUUAGUGGCGGACGGGUGAGUAACGCGUGGAUAACCUGCCUUACACUGGGGGACAACAGUUGGAAACGACUGCUAAUACCGCAUAAGCGCACAGUACUGCAUGGUACAGUGUGAAAAACUCCGGUGGUGUAAGAUGGAUCCGCGUCUGAUUAGCUAGUUGGUGGGGUAAUGGCCUACCAAGGCGACGAUCAGUAGCCGGCCUGAGAGGGUGAACGGCCACAUUGGGACUGAGACACGGCCCAGACUCCUACGGGAGGCAGCAGUGGGGAAUAUUGCACAAUGGAGGAAACUCUGAUGCAGCCGACGCCGCGUGAGUGAUGAAGUAUUUCGGUAUGUAAAGCUCUAUCAGCAAGGAAGAUAAUGACGGUACUUGACUAAGAAGCCCCGGCUAACUACGUGCCAGCCGCCGC